Molecule: small nucleolar RNA, 135 nt
Organism: Phyllostomus discolor (pale spear-nosed bat)
Lineage: Eukaryota; Metazoa; Chordata; Mammalia; Chiroptera; Phyllostomidae
Product: small nucleolar RNA SNORA48
Exons: 1
Source: RefSeq, a predicted model, not a curated record
UUUUCUUUUUCUCCUCAUAAUUUUUUGUUUUCUAAAAACAUGGCUUUUAAUCAGCCAGGGACAAAGUAACUCCUUGUUUAUCCCAGGUUGGCUUUUGGUCUGUGCCCAUGCCUGGUCCAUGCCUCAGACACAUGG